Long non-coding RNA from Quercus robur (English oak), 439 nucleotides. RefSeq lists it as uncharacterized. The transcript has 3 exons. The record is from RefSeq and is a predicted model, not a curated record. NCBI's taxonomy places the organism in Eukaryota, Viridiplantae, Streptophyta, Magnoliopsida, Fagales, Fagaceae.
AUUCCCUUCUGUUACAUGGAUUAAAAUUCCUAUCUCCCACGUUUUGUUUCAUCGUUUCAGUUUCAACUUCUGUUUUGGCUUCUAACAGUAGCCUCUCUGUCUUCCUUCCUCUCCUCACAUCUAUAUAAAUACUGAUAUAUAAGAGGGGAGGAGUCUGGCUUUUUGGUUCUUUGGAUCUGAAGGAAAGAGGAAACAUUUUGAAAAUUAGGCUACUUAUUGGCCUUAAUAAAUAGAUAAAUCGUCAAAUAUUUAGAAACAAAUUAAAAGUUGCAUGUAACUUUGCAAUAUGAACUAAACAUUUCACUUGCAUAUCUCUUUUUCAACCACAAAGUGUACCAACAAUGAGAAGUUCUAUUUUGAAAGGAAACUUAACUGGGAAAUAAAUGUGCUUGCUAGAGGAGCAAUGAUCUAUAAUUUUGUUGCUUUCGCAAGACCGGAA